This 210-nucleotide ribosomal RNA is filed under the name Triticum aestivum (bread wheat). RNAcentral describes it as "partial small subunit ribosomal RNA". Lineage: Eukaryota; Viridiplantae; Streptophyta; Magnoliopsida; Poales; Poaceae. The record is from RNAcentral.
AUGGACGCCGUGGACUCCGUGGUCGACCCGCUCCGGGAGUUCGCCAAGGACAGCGUUCGCCUCGUCAAGCGCUGCCACAAGCCCGACCGAAAGGAGUUCACCAAGGUGGCCAUUCGGACGGCCAUCGGGUUCGUCGUCAUGGGCUUCGUCGGGUUCUUCGUCAAGCUCAUCUUCAUCCCCAUCAACAACAUCAUCGUCGGGUCCGGCUGA